Molecule: ribosomal RNA, 253 nt
Filed under: uncultured bacterium
Lineage: Bacteria
Description: partial 16S ribosomal RNA
Rfam family: Bacterial small subunit ribosomal RNA
Source: RNAcentral
UACGUAGGGUGCAAGCGUUAAUCGGAAUUACUGGGCGUAAAGCGUGCGCAGGCGGCUUUGCAAGACAGAUGUGAAAUCCCCGGGCUUAACCUGGGAACUGCAUUUGUGACUGCAUGGCUGGAGUGCGGCAGAGGGGGAUGGAAUUCCAGGUGUAGCGGUGAAAUGCGUAGAUAUCUGGAGGAACACCGGUGGCGAAGGCGGCAUCCUGGACCAUUACUGACGCUGAGGAGCGAAAGCCAGGGGAGCAAACGGG